RNAcentral lists this ribosomal RNA (253 nucleotides) under uncultured bacterium. Its description in RNAcentral is "partial 16S ribosomal RNA". It matches the Rfam family "Bacterial small subunit ribosomal RNA", at positions 524 to 776 of the family's 1533-position model. The record is from RNAcentral.
UACGUAGGGAGCAAGCGUUGUCCGGAAUCAUUGGGCGUAAAGCGCGCGUAGGUGGCUUCGUAAGUCCGUUGUGAAAGUCAAAGGCUCAACCUUUGAAAGCCGAUGGAUACUGUGAAGCUAGAGUACGGAAGAGGCGAGUGGAAUUCCUGGUGUAGGGGUGGAAUGCGCAGAUAUCAGGAGGAACACCAAUAGCGAAGGCAGCUCGCUGGGACGUUACUGACACUGAGGCGCGAAAGCGUGGGGAGCGAACAGG